CGGCGGGCCGGCCGGGCGGGACGCGGCCCUGCGCCGACGGCGCGGCGGCAGGGUGUCGCUGGGGGUGUUCGACUCGGUGUCCGUCGA
RNAcentral lists this transfer RNA (87 nucleotides) under Streptomyces plicatus. Its description in RNAcentral is "tRNA-Val". RNAcentral also lists the same sequence under 5 other names. Lineage: Bacteria; Bacillati; Actinomycetota; Actinomycetes; Kitasatosporales; Streptomycetaceae. The record is from RNAcentral.